GAAUCUUGGACAAUGGGCGCAAGCCUGAUCCAGCCAUGCCGCGUGAGUGAAGAAGGCCUUAGGGUUGUAAAACUCUUUCGCCGGAGAAGAUAAUGACGGUAUCCGGAGAAGAAGCCCCGGCUAACUUCGUGCCAGCAGCCGCGGUAAUACGAAGGGGGCUAGCGUUGUUCGGAAUUACUGGGCGUAAAGCGCACGUAGGCGGGUCUGUAAGUAGGGGGUGAAAGCCCAGGGCUCAACCCUGGAACUGCCUUCUAGACUGCAGGCCUGGAGGUCAGGAGAGGCGAGUGGAAUUCCGAGUGUAGAGGUGAAAUUCGUAGAUAUUCGGAGGAACACCAGUGGCGAAGGCGACUCGCUGGACUGAUACUGACGCUGAGGUGCGAAAGCGUGGGGAGCAAACAG
RNAcentral lists this ribosomal RNA (399 nucleotides) under uncultured bacterium. Its description in RNAcentral is "bacterial SSU rRNA". It matches the Rfam family "Bacterial small subunit ribosomal RNA", at positions 359 to 775 of the family's 1533-position model. The record is from RNAcentral.